Long non-coding RNA from Sitophilus oryzae (rice weevil), 203 nucleotides. RefSeq lists it as uncharacterized. The record is from RefSeq and is a predicted model, not a curated record. The transcript is spliced from 2 exons. Lineage: Eukaryota; Metazoa; Arthropoda; Insecta; Coleoptera; Curculionidae.
UAGGUUCGAGAAUUAUCUAGACUUGGUGGUUCAGGAGUAGCACAAAGUACAAGGAAAGUGCUUUAUAAGGUUCUUGGAUGGGGCCAAACAGAAGAGAAGUUUGAAAUCAUUGUUAGUGGCCAAAAGCAAUUUUAGACUCCAUGAAAGGUCAAUUUCAAGAGUCAAAAGAAACCGAAAUUAUCAAUAUAAUCAAAAUAUGGCUU